GUGACCCACUUGUUCGCUUCAUUGUUCCAUUGCUCUGCCUUCACAAUUCCAGUAACCAUCAUGCCUUUCGGCAUAUCUUUCAGGAAACAUUUUGGUUUUGAUCCAUCAAAGUAAAAAUGAACUGCCUGUGACUGGAAAAAAAAGGUAAAAAGUAAUAAACCGAAAAUUCCCAGCUUCAUCGUCGUUUAAGGAAAGGUGAUGGUUAAGGGUGUGUUUGGUUCUGCACACAGCACUGACUACUAGUUUGAAGAAACACUUACGCCAAUCAAGCUCAAAGAGUUUUGUUUCAAUUUAGUUAUCCGUAUAAAAAUAUUCUAUUGACUUUAUAAUAUUAUUAAUUCUAUUACCUUAAAAGUGUUCUUUGUUAUUGUUAAAGCAAAUGUCGGGGUCAAAGUUCGACUUGCACAAGUAUUGACACCUUACAAAGAAAAUGAGUACAUUAUUCUUCCUAAACAAACUUUUUGUA
Molecule: non-coding RNA, 466 nt
Organism: Schizosaccharomyces pombe (fission yeast)
Lineage: Eukaryota; Fungi; Ascomycota; Schizosaccharomycetes; Schizosaccharomycetales; Schizosaccharomycetaceae
Source: the annotation of a GenBank genome assembly